GACCCGCUUCUUUCCUAAAAGGAAGUGGCCUCAGAAUUUUCUCGCGGAGUAACCUCUUCGUAAACCCAGGUUCCCCAGGUCCCACGCCUGAGGGUGCUCGGAGCCGCCCUGGAGGGCAGCACGGACUGGCGGGUUCUUUUAAACCCACGGUGAAAACGUCCUCUGGAUGUUUCAUCUGAUGAAAGGCGCAUCCUUACUUUUCCAGUCUUGGUCACAUUCUCUCCUUUCCCUACCAAAGACUGGGUGGCACGGUCGCCCCCGAAGCGUGAAUUGGGGUUGAGGAGGAAGAACACCGUAAACGCUCUUUGAGUGGCCUGUGGCUUCUCUACUUCUUCACUAACCACUCCUGGUUUGGGCGGAUUCUCACACAAAAUUGUCUUGGCAAAACCUCAGCCUGACCCACGAUCAAGGGAUGCACCUGCAUUGAUCUUCUUGAAGGUAUUUUUCAAAUAUGUCCUUUCUUUGAAUUCCCUGUCUGUGUGUCGGACAUUUUCUUGAAACUCAGAAGGUUUUCUCUGUCCGAGAUGCUGGUUUCUCUGAAAAGGGCUGUUUUCCUCAUCCUUGACUGUGAACCGUUUCACCACCCCGUGAUGGCCGUUAAAGGAAGACUGUUUUCCUAACUGGUCCUCUGGGUGUUGGCUCACGGAUGUCUUCCUGAGCUGCUGGUGUGGGGGACGGUGGGUGGGUGUAGGCCUGCCGGGUGCUGAUUCUGAUGGGCUUUCUGUCUCAAAACUGCAACCUUGGUUUACCUGGAGGAGAGGGUGCUUCCUAUGCUGCAGCCCCAGCCCGGGGGAUUGGGGGGUGGGUCCAGCUCUCAGGCAUCCAGCUGCCUCUCCCUGCCAUCCUGGUUACAGAAAGCGAGGGCAGCAGUCUGGGCAAGAGCUGGUCCCAUGGUGGGGGAGGGGGCUCGGUAGGCAUCCAGGUACUUCAGUGUCACAGGGCUGCCAUGACUAAUUACCAUCCACUGAGUGGCUUAAGAUAACAGAAAUUGGUUCUCAUAAUUCUGGAAGCCAGAAAUCUGAAAUCCAGGUGUCCCCAGGGGUAUUCCUUCAGGUGGCCCUAAGGGAGAACCUAACCCCUGCCUCUGUCCCAGCUUCCAGCGUUGGCCCUCAGUCCUUGGCUUGUAUGUGCAUCGGUCCUGUCCCUGCACAGUGGUCCACAUGACGUGGCUGUAUCUGUAACUUAUCACUUAUUAAUUAUGUUUAGGUUGUUUCCAACGUUAUUUCAUUUUUUUUUGCUAUCACCAAUAAUGCUGCAAUGAUGAUUUGUAUAGAAAUAGAAGUAGAAUAAAUUCCUAGAUGUGGAAUUCCAGCAUCAAAGGCUGUGUGAUUCACAUUUUCGAUGGAUACAGUCAUCUGCCCUUAUCCACAGGGAUACUUUCCUAGAGGAAGCCUGAAGCCACAGAUAGUGUACACUAGGUUUUUUUCCUUCCCAUACAUACUGAUGAUAAAGUUUAGUUCAUAAAUUAGGCACAGUAGGGGAUUAACACUAAGUAACACUAAAAUAAACCAUUAUAACACGCUGCAGUACAAGCUUCGUGAAUAUGGUCUCUCUUUCUUGCUCUUAAAACAUCUUUCUGUACUCACCCUUCUGUGCUGUUGGGGGAUGAUGAAAUGCCUGCAUGAUGAGAUGAAGUGAGGUGAUGACAUAGGCAUUGUGACCUAGUGUUGGGCUACUACUGACCCUCUGCCUAUACAUCAGAAGAGGAUCCUCUGCUUUGGGGUCCUGGAUCAUCAAACUCUGGUAAUGGUGGAGGUUGAGUGUCAGGUGUAGAUCAUUUCGGUUGUUGGGGCUCCAGGGUGGGACGGAGCAGAUUCCAACACGGCUUGCAGUUUAAAGUCUAUGAAUUGUCUAGUUCUGGAAUUUUCCAUUUAAUAUGUUUGAACUGUGGUUGACCCGGAAAGCGAAGGCACGGGGGAAGGGAAGGGCUGCACCGUGAAAUUACCAGCAAACUUUGGCACCCGUUUGCUCUCUCACAGUUUAAGAGGGAGCCUGUCUUCCCACCCAGUUUUCCAUACUCUUUUAAAUUGUCGAUCCGAGAGUUGGAAAGUGCUGUCUCCUUUCUUUCUUUAAUUAUAGGUGAGAAAAUAAAACGGAGAUAUGAGAAAUAAGAUUGCUCUUACUAAAUAAUUCGGUCAACAGUCACCUGUAGGAGACACCAUAAGAACUUCAUAGAGAUUUAGCUCUUAAUUGUUCUAGGAGUCAGAAAAAAAAAAGGGAGAUUAUAAUAAAUGAUUUUGAUAAGAAAACCAACUUUGCUUUCCCUUCAUGAGUAUUCUAACCAUUAUUGUAGUGGACACUGACAACGAACCUGGUGUCUUAUUGGAAGACAAGUUACAGAACACAGACCAUGGGCCUCAGAACAGACGGAGUUUAGUUAUUUAUAGAAUUGGUCUUGUGUAAUCAUCUUAUAUAUAAUUAGCAAUGUGAUUUGGGGCAAAUCAUUGAACUGUUUAGUCCUUAUAUGUCUUUUUUCUCAUGUGUGUAAAGUACAGGGUUAGGACCUCAAUACCUUAAAAAAAUGUGAAUUCAGGAAUGUCUAACUUCAAUAAAUAACUGUUGCUCCUGAGGAUUUCCAAAACGAAAAUUUUUCCUCUUCUAAUUCUCCAGCAGGUGGUGACAUUCUAACACUCAAAAUUGUUACUGAUCUAGUAACUCAUUCACCCCUUAGGAUUCAUUUUAUAGAAAUAUUCUUUGCCAUUAUGGUAAAAUUUUAAUGUUAUAAAUACAAAGAAUGCAUUUAUAAAAUUUAUUAUUUACAUUAAUAUAUGCACUCAGGGUAAUGAUUGUUAAUUUGUUCUUUUCAUGUUUGUACAAAUCAAGCUCCAAAUCCAGUGACCUCAGAUGACAUGGUUUCCAAUCUGUCGCAGUUUCUUUAAUUCGGUUAAUUUUGUAAAUAGUUUCCAUUUUAAUUAAUUAAUUUACUUUAUGUGAAGACGAAGAGUGGAUACCGAUGGAACUCUAUCUUAUUGAAACUUUAAAAUUACUGUGUGAGAAAAUUUCUGAAGGAGAGCCUCAACUAAGGUCUGUAGAUAACUUUUUAGAAAGUCAAUUUACAGCCAAGGACACCAACCAAAACGGUGAAAGUUCACCAAAGUUGUAAGAUUUUAGUGUAAUUUUCAAAACAUCAAUUUUAAACAUAUGUUAAUAAUACAAAGUUAGAAAAUAAAAUAAAGAAAUAAAUGGAAUAACAUAGCAACAAAAACUUUGUAUAAUGGAUAGUGAUUUCUCUUUUAACAUAAAAUAUAUAUUCAAGGAAUAUAAUAAAACCUUAGUAGGAAAAACAAAAGAAGACACUCAUAAUCAUUGGGAUUAAAUACAGUAAAUGAAAAUGCCAUUUAAGUUAAACAUAGAUUAAAUGUAAAUAUUUAUUAAGAGCCUGAGGGAACAUUUUAUAUAACUUGACAAGUUAAUAGUAAAAAAUCUUUUGGAAAACAUCAGCAAGCAAGUACAUUAAAUAACUUUUUAAAGAUCAUAAUAAUAGACUUACUCCAUAAAAGUUACUAAACACGUUAUGAGACUUUUGUCAAAAUUAAAUAGUAACUGGAGAAUAACGUUAAAUGCGAUCUUGGAAAUAAAAAAAAAGUUAGAAAUGAUUAUGAUAAAGAUGUUUUAUUCCCCAAAUGUAGCAUGCUUGCAGAUCUUUAUAUCAUUUAAAAGUAUCUGUGUUAAUACGAAACACUUCUAUAAGCCUUGACCCUGACAAAUGCCACCAAUACAGAACCAACACUUGUUCUUAAUAUGGAGGUUAGAAGACCUAGAGUUAUUUGUGCUACUUAGAAAAAAAAAAAAAAA
This 3795-nucleotide long non-coding RNA is filed under the name Sus scrofa (pig). RNAcentral's name for it is "lncRNA (ENSSSCG00030043438.1)". The record is from RNAcentral. Lineage: Eukaryota; Metazoa; Chordata; Mammalia; Artiodactyla; Suidae.